GACGAACCGAGCGAACGUUGUUCGGAAUCACUGGGCUUAAAGGGCGCGUAGGCGGGUGCUCAAGUCUGUGGUGAAAUCCUCCGGCUCAACCGGAGAACUGCCAUGGAUACUGGGUGCCUCGAGGGUGGUAGGGGUAUGCGGAACUAUCGGUGGAGCGGUGAAAUGCGUUGAUAUCGAUAGGAACACCUGCGGCGAAGGCGGGUUGCUGGGCUGACACUGACGCUGAGGCGCGAAAGCUAGGGGAGCGAACGGG
RNAcentral lists this ribosomal RNA (253 nucleotides) under uncultured bacterium. RNAcentral's name for it is "partial 16S ribosomal RNA". It matches the Rfam family "Bacterial small subunit ribosomal RNA", at positions 524 to 776 of the family's 1533-position model. The record is from RNAcentral.